RNAcentral lists this ribosomal RNA (492 nucleotides) under uncultured bacterium. RNAcentral's name for it is "partial 16S ribosomal RNA". It matches the Rfam family "Bacterial small subunit ribosomal RNA", at positions 29 to 507 of the family's 1533-position model. The record is from RNAcentral.
AGUGAACGCUGGCGGUAGGCCUAACACAUGCAAGUCGAACGGCAGCACAGUAAGAGCUUGCUCUUACGGGUGGCGAGUGGUGGACGGGUGAGGAAUACACCGGAAUCUACUUUUUCGUGGGGGAUAACGUAGGGAAACUUACGCUAAUACCGCAUACGACCUACGGGUGAAAGCAGGGGAUCUUCGGAACUUGCGCGAUUGAAUGAGCCGAUGUCGGAUUAGCUAGUUGGCGGGGUAAAGGCCCACCAAGGCGACGAUCCGUAGCUGGUCUGAGAGGAUGAUCAGCCACACUAGAACUGAGACACGGUCCAGACUCCUACGGGAGGCAGCAGUGGGGAAUAUUGGACAAUGGGCGCAAGCCUGAUCCAGCCAUACCGCGUGGGUGAAGAAGGCCUUCGGGUUGUAAAGCCCUUUUGUUGGGAAAGAAAAGCAGCAGGUUAAUACCCCGCUGUUCUGACGGUACCCAAAGAAUAAGCACCGGCUAACUUCGUG